This 71-nucleotide long non-coding RNA is filed under the name Crocodylus porosus (Australian saltwater crocodile). RNAcentral describes it as "Mammalian CPEB3 ribozyme (ENSCPRG00005012258.1)". It matches the Rfam family "Mammalian CPEB3 ribozyme". Rfam says of the family: The mammalian CPEB3 ribozyme is a self cleaving RNA located in the second intron of the CPEB3 gene which belongs to a family of genes regulating messenger RNA polyadenylation. This ribozyme is highly conserved and found only in mammals. There is currently only one other known self cleaving ribozyme in mammals, the CoTC motif. Lineage: Eukaryota; Metazoa; Chordata; Crocodylia; Crocodylidae. The record is from Rfam by way of RNAcentral.
ACAAGUUCAAGGCCAUAGCAGAAGCGUUCAUGCAUGGCAUGUCAGAUUCCAGCAAGUCUGCCAAUUCUGCU